Molecule: ribosomal RNA, 250 nt
Filed under: uncultured bacterium
Lineage: Bacteria
Description: partial 16S ribosomal RNA
Rfam family: Bacterial small subunit ribosomal RNA
Source: RNAcentral
UACGUAGGUGGCAAGCGUUGUCCGGAAUUAUUGGGCGUAAAGCGCGCGCAGGCGGGAUAGUAAGUCUGUUGUGAAAUUGCGGGGCUCAACCCCGUAUUGGCAAUGGAAACUGCUAUUCUUGAGUGCAGGAGAGGAAAGCGGAAUUCCCAGUGUAGCGGUGAAAUGCGUAGAUAUUGGGAGGAACACCAGUGGCGAAGGCGGCUUUCUGGACUGUGUCUGACGCUGAGGCGCGAAAGCCAGGGGAGCGAAC